RNAcentral lists this ribosomal RNA (265 nucleotides) under uncultured bacterium. RNAcentral's name for it is "partial 16S ribosomal RNA". It matches the Rfam family "Bacterial small subunit ribosomal RNA", at positions 524 to 776 of the family's 1533-position model. The record is from RNAcentral.
AACAGAGCCGGCAAGCGUUAUUCACGAUAACUGGGUGUAAAGGGUGAGUAGGCGGAUCUUUGGCAACCUUAUAAAAAAUGCUUGUGUUUCGGCACACUUUUUAAUAUAGGUAACUCUGAUCUAUAGAGAUAUGCAGAGGUUAGUGGAAACGGCUCGAGUGUCCAUGUCUCGAUUAGAGAUCAGACAUACGGUACCUCCGUAGGCGAAGGCGACUAUCCAGGCAUAAUCUGACGCUGAGGUCACGAAACGUAGGAUAACGAAAUGG